Molecule: ribosomal RNA, 504 nt
Filed under: uncultured bacterium
Lineage: Bacteria
Description: partial 16S ribosomal RNA
Rfam family: Bacterial small subunit ribosomal RNA
Source: RNAcentral
AUUGAACGCUGGCGGCAUGCCUUACACAUGCAAGUCGAACGGCAGCAUGGAGAGCUUGCUCUCUGAUGGCGAGUGGCGAACGGGUGAGUAAUGCAUCGGAACGUACCGUGUAAUGGGGGAUAACGUAGCGAAAGUUACGCUAAUACCGCAUACGACCUGAGGGUGAAAGAAGGGCAUCGCAAGACCUUGCGUUAUACGAGCGGCCGAUGUGAGAUUAGCUAGUUGGUGAGGUAAAGGCUCACUAAGGCGACGAUCUGGAGCGGGUCUGAGAGGAUGAUCCGCCACACUGGGACUGAGACACGGCCCAGACUCCUACGGGAGGCAGCAGUGGGGAAUUUUGGACAAUGGGGGCAACCCUGAUCCAGCCAUGCCGCGUGAGUGAAGAAGGCCUUCGGGUUGUAAAGCUCUUUCGGCCGGGAAGAAAUCGCACAGGCUAAUACUCUGUGUGGAUGACGGUACCGGCAUAAGAAGCACCGGCUAACUACGUGCCAGCCGCCGCCGUAA